GACGAACGCUGGCGGCGUGCUUAACACAUGCAAGUCGAACGGUGAACCUCUUCGGAGGGGAUCAGUGGCGAACGGGUGAGUAACACGUGGGCAACCUGCCCCCGGCUCUGGGAUAACUCCAAGAAAUUGGGGCUAAUACCGGAUGUUCACCGCUUCCCGCAUGGGUGGUGGUGGAAAGGGUUUCCGGCUGGGGAUGGGCCCGCGGCCUAUCAGCUUGUUGGUGGGGUAGUGGCCUACCAAGGCGACGACGGGUAGCCGGCCUGAGAGGGUGACCGGCCACACUGGGACUGAGACACGGCCCAGACUCCUACGGGGGGCAGCAGGUGGGAAAAUUGCGCAAUGGGCGGAAGCCUGAAGGAGCGACGCCGCGUGGGGGAUGACGGCCUUCGGGUUGUAAACCUCUUUCAGCAGGGACGAAGCGCAAGUGACGGUACCUGCAGAAGAAGCACCGGCCAACUACGUG
This 463-nucleotide ribosomal RNA is filed under the name uncultured bacterium. Its description in RNAcentral is "partial 16S ribosomal RNA". It matches the Rfam family "Bacterial small subunit ribosomal RNA", at positions 28 to 507 of the family's 1533-position model. The record is from RNAcentral.